GCCAUGGGCAGGUUGAAGGUUGGGUAACACUAACUGGAGGACCGAACCGACUAAUGUUGAAAAAUUAGCGGAUGACCUGUGGCUGGGGGUGAAAGGCCAAUCAAACCGGGAGAUAGCUGGUUCUCCCCGAAAGCUAUUUAGGUAGCGCCUCGUGAAUUCAUCUCCGGGGGUAGAGCACUGUUUCGGCUAGGGGGCCAUCCCGGCUUACCAACCCGAUGCAAACUGCGAAUACCGGAGAAUGUUAUCACGGGAGACACACGGCGGGUGCUAACGUCCGUCGUGAAGAGGGAAACAACCCAGACCGCCAGCUAAGGUCCCAAAGUCAUGGUUAAGUGGGAAACGAUGUGGGAAGGCCCAGACAGCCAGGAUGUUGGCUUAGAAGCAGCCAUCAUUUAAAGAAAGCGUAAUAGCUCACUGGUCGAGUCGGCCUGCGCGGAAGAUGUAACGGGGCUAAACCAUGCACCGAAGCUGCGGCAGCGACGCUGAUGCGUUGUUGGGUAGGGGAGCGUUCUGUAAGCCUGUGAAGGUGGCCUGUGAGGGUUGCUGGAGGUAUCAGAAGUGCGAAUGCUGACAUAAGUAACGAUAAAGCGGGUGAAAAGCCCGCUCGCCGGAAGACCAAGGGUUCCUGUCCAACGUUAAUCGGGGCAGGGUGAGUCGACCCCUAAGGCGAGGCCGAAAGGCGUAGUCGAUGGGAAACGGGUUAAUAUUCCCGUACUUGGUGUUACUGCGAAGGGGGGACGGAGAAGGCUAUGUUGGCCGGGCGACGGUU
Molecule: ribosomal RNA, 769 nt
Filed under: Salmonella enterica
Lineage: Bacteria; Pseudomonadati; Pseudomonadota; Gammaproteobacteria; Enterobacterales; Enterobacteriaceae
Description: partial 23S ribosomal RNA
Rfam family: Bacterial large subunit ribosomal RNA
Source: RNAcentral